AGAAUGGCUUCUUGACAGCCACCCUUCCACUGAGACCAUUUCUGAUGAGGCUUCAGUGAACAGUUGCUGAACCAGCUCAAGGUCCAGAUGCAUCUAUCAGACACUGAUUUGCAUCUUUUAGGAAAAGAAUUCCUGCUGCAGCAGGGUGACGACGCCUCAACGCCUUAAAGGACUGUUUAACCAAAGAAGACCAAGGACUGCUUCUACAGUCAUCUGACCCCUGAACAUUUAUGGAGCAGGUGAAUGCUAAGAAGGCUAAGCACUCCUGCUCCUUUGAACAGAGUUAAAUUGUACCUGAAUAACAUGAGUCGUCAGGUUUUGCACAAACAAAAGUGCUGCUGUCAUCGAGACAUGCCAGUGUUAUGUUUUUAGAGGUUUCACUUUUUGAAGAUUUUAAACAUACAACAAUAAUUUGAGAAUUUAUUGAAAGACAUGCAGAACUGAAGCAUAUUCAUUAGCAUUGCUGGAUGUUUGAGCCUUACUGAAUGACAAACCCGUAGGCUGUACUACAGUCUGAGUACUGGAUGAGUAUUGAUGUUGUUUAUUGACAUUUGCAUUUACAAUGUAAGUAAAAAUGACUUUGUCAAAUGGUGCACACAAGCCGUACUACUUUUGAGGGCAAUGUGAGCAUUUGGCCAGUGAGAAGAAUCAUCAUUUAAAGUAUUUCCUGCUUCCUCCUCUCUCCUUUUGCUGGAUGGGGGAAGAAGGGGGGUACAAAUCUUGUUUUGAUACUGACGCUGUCAGGGGGCUAGCCGGAGAGGAUAGUAAACACUGCCUUUGCAGAACAUUUAAAAUCAAUCCUUCAGCCACAGGCCUCGAUACUCCCUUCGCUUCUCUCUCCCCGUCUCUCUUUCCCCGAGCCUUUCUUCCUCUUUUUCUCUCUCCCCUCUCUGUAAUGUGUCUGCUGCUCUCUGAGAAUAGAGGCGGCACUUAAAAGCAGGGCGUCGAGGCUGAGUUUGGUGACAACAGCGGUGGCUUUUAUUAUCAUGCUGAGAUGUGCCCAGCAACGCCCACCAUCAUCACCAACCUCCAGCAAGCACUCAUACCGACUUUCAAGCAUACACAUAAACACAUGUACACAGCCCCAUACGUACACACUCAUAUCACCUUGAUGAGCCAAUAAUCGUGUCAUUAGCCUGUUCGCUUUCAAGGCGGUGGCUCAUUUGCAGGCAUCCAAGCCGUUACCUUUGCUCAUGAUGGCCACGAGAUUAGUUGAAAAUCAUUUUGUUUCCAGCAGUAUUGCUUGAUUAAGUCACCAUUUGCCAGCCAAUAGAAACAGUCAACAAAUACCUCUACCAGAUGACCGCUGAUGCAGGAGCUGAAUACCAAUGAUUGAAAGGCUACAUGAAUAUACACUAACUUAUACAAAUUUCCGGAGCUGAAAAAAUUAUGGCUUAGAAAGUUUCACAGUUAAGAAUCUGUUAUGUGGUCUUCUGCUGCAGUAACCUAUUACUUUCAAGAUUCAACAUGUGGUGUAUUCAGAAACAGUUGUAAUAGGUGCUUUGGGUUUUUUUUUAGUUCAUUGUCACUUUGCUAUCAGCUCGGAGCAGUCGGGCCAUUCUCCCCUGACCCCUGGCAUCAAUGAGGCAUUUUGGCUGAGAGAACAGCCGCUCACUCGAUGUUUUCUCUUUUUUGGACCAAUAGUCUGUGAACCCUAGAGGUGGUUGUGUACCAGCCAGGUAUCACCAACCAUGCCAUAUUCAAAUUCACUUAAGUUACCUUUGUUCC
Molecule: long non-coding RNA, 1728 nt
Organism: Oreochromis aureus
Lineage: Eukaryota; Metazoa; Chordata; Actinopteri; Cichliformes; Cichlidae
Exons: 2
Source: RefSeq, a predicted model, not a curated record